UGUGACUAACAUGUCUCAGUGACAAUAAAU
RNAcentral lists this non-coding RNA (30 nucleotides) under Rattus norvegicus (Norway rat). The record is from RNAcentral. Lineage: Eukaryota; Metazoa; Chordata; Mammalia; Rodentia; Muridae.